RNAcentral lists this transfer RNA (73 nucleotides) under Clostridiales bacterium. RNAcentral describes it as "tRNA-Ala". It matches the Rfam family "tRNA". From Rfam's summary of the family: Transfer RNA (tRNA) molecules are approximately 80 nucleotides in length. Their secondary structure includes four short double-helical elements and three loops (D, anti-codon, and T loops). The record is from RNAcentral. RNAcentral also lists the same sequence under 1 other name. Lineage: Bacteria; Bacillati; Bacillota; Clostridia; Eubacteriales.
GGGGACGUAGCUCAGCUGGGAGAGCAUACGGUUCGCAUCCGUAAGGUCGAGAGUUCGAUCCUCUUCGUCUCCA